GGUCCGAUUAGCUCAGUCAGUUGAGUGUGGCUCUAACAAUGCUAAGGUCGUGGGUGCGAUUCCCGUUCGGUCCC
Non-coding RNA from Apaloderma vittatum (bar-tailed trogon), 74 nucleotides. Lineage: Eukaryota; Metazoa; Chordata; Aves; Trogoniformes; Trogonidae. The record is from Rfam.